Pteropus alecto (black flying fox) is the source of this 3844-nucleotide long non-coding RNA. RefSeq lists it as uncharacterized. The record is from RefSeq and is a predicted model, not a curated record. NCBI's taxonomy places the organism in Eukaryota, Metazoa, Chordata, Mammalia, Chiroptera, Pteropodidae. The transcript is spliced from 5 exons.
ACGUGAGCGCGCACCCCGCAGGCCUUCCACCGAGGGAGCUGGGCCCGGCAGCGACUGCGCAUGCUGUGAACGCUGCCCGCGCUGGAAAGCCGAUGUAGGCUCAGACCCCCAACGGAGGAGUGGUCCCUGGCGACGGGGAAGGAUGGGAGAGCCUGGAGGCUCGGUCGGAGGUCAGGGUGACGUCUUCCAGGCCGCCGUGGCAUGGUCCCUACUUGAACACCCAAAAUGACUUUUACCAUGGGAUUCAGAAACGUCUUGCAAGACUAAGACUGGACCUGCUAAGGGGAGCUUUGGAAAGGAAGCCUAUUUCAUAAAUCCCCAUGGCUACAGAGGUUGCUGCAAUGCUUAUCAUCACACCCAAUGCCCCAGGAUUCCAGUGGACUGUUACAUGGCUUGGUUGACUCUGACUCAUGGACACAUGCUGCUGUGAAGCACUCUGAUGUCCUCACUGCCAAUAAGCCCAGUAUGGGUGGAUCCAAGAUGAAAUGGCUAACUUGGGCUCAUUUGCAGGUGAUAAUUGACCAUAAGUAAUAUAGUGGAGUCCUUGGAAGAAGCAAAACUGAAAAGGAAAAGACAGUAAAAUUGUGUUGGAAAAGCACCAAAGGAAAAUUUUGCCUAUUUCACCAUGUGGUCAUGGGCUAACCUGAAGUCAACUCUCACACCCACACAGUUUUUUUCUGGCAACAUUUCCCUUCUGUCUGAAGAACUUCUUUUAGCAAUUCUUUCAGAAAAGGUCUGCUAGCAAGAGACUUCCAGUUUCCAGUUCCACAUGUUAUGAAUUGGAAAUCGUCACUCUGUCCAAACAAGUAGAAAGUGGAACAGACUGAAAAAUCAACAACUCUUUUUGAAUCCUUAAGAGAGGGAAGGACACAAGACUACCCAUUGCCCUCAAGAUUGGAGAAAUAGAAUAAAGGGAUUUGCAGCUUACAGGAGAAGAAACUCACCAGUGGAAACCACUGCAGAAACUAGUGUCGAGUUAGGGAAACCUGAAUUGCAAUUACAAAUUGCUGGAAGCUCAGUGUUGAAAAUUCUGAGAAUUAAAACUCCAGGGGGAUCUACACAUAGAGGAGCCCCUGCAGUUAGUGAGAUUUACCUCUAGAAACUCAAUCAGGUCCCCAUAGUAAAUAUCAAAGAAAAAUCCUCUCAGGCUUCUAUCAGGGAAAGGGGAAAAGGAACUAUUUUGAAAUACACAAGAGCAUUUUGUUUUCAUAGGAAAGCUGGCCCUCAAGGGAAACUAGUUAUUCUUGCUUGGGUAAUUUCAGAGCCUAACUCACCUGUGGAAGUAAAAUACCCAACUCCAGCCCAUUCUACAUAUCCCAUCCUCCUUAAAGGGAGAAAAAAAACCUGAAAAACACUUGUGAAUUUCAUAGUCCAUAAUCAUGGGCUCACCAAAAUACUGAGCCUUAAUUCAUAGCACUAUAAAAUGCUUCCCCUCCCACACACCUCACGACCAUACUACAAAAGGUCUAUUUAUAGCAGUUCCUUUUACCUGGUAUAACAUUUCUAGCUAUCAAGAAAAAACUACAAGGCACACCAAAAGGCGAAACACACAAUUUGAAGAGGCAGAACAAGUAUCAGAACCAGACAUGGCAAGGAUUUGGGAAUUAUCAAACUAGGAAUUUAAAACAACUUUGAUUUAUAUUCUAAGGACCCUAAAGGAUAAGGUAGACAGCAUGUAAGAACAGAUAGGCAAUGUAAGCAGAGAAGUGGAAAUCUUAAGAAAGAACUAAAAAGAAAUGCAACAAAUAAGAGAUACGGUAACAGUGAUGAAGAAUGCCUUUGAUGGGCCUAUUAGUAAACCAUAUGGAACUGAGGGGAACAAAACCUCUGAGCUAGAGGAUAUAUCAAUAGAAUGCUUGAAAACUGAAAAUCAAAGAGAACAAAGACUGAAAUAACAACAGAAUAUCCAGAGACUGUGGAACAACUACAAAAUGUGUAACAUGUGUAAUGGUAAUACCAGAAAGAGAAGAGAAAAAGGAACAAAGAAAUAUUUGAAACAAUAAUGACUGAGAAUUUUCCCAAAUUAAUGUCAGAUGCCAAACCACAGAUCCUGGAAGCUCAGAGUAGACCAAGCAGGAUAAAUACAAAAAAAAAAAAAAAAAAAAAAAAACAAAAAAAAAACAACUUGGCAUGUUAUUUUCAAAUUGCAAAAAAUCAAAGGUAAAGUCCUGGAAGAUGCCAGAGGAAUAAAAUACCUUACCUAUAGAGAAAAAAAAUAAGAAUUACAUCUGACUUCUCAGAAACUGUGCAAGCAGGAAGAGAGUGGAGUGAAAUAUUUAAAGUGUUGAGAGAGAAGAAAAAACACCAACCUGGAAUUCCAUUCCCUGAAAAAUUAUCCUUCAGUAGUGAAGGAUAAAGACUUUCUCAAACAAGCAAAAAUUGGGAGAAUUUGUUGCCAGUACAGCUGCCUUGCAAGAAUAUUAAAGAAAUUAUUUGAAAGAAGGAAAUAACAAAAACACCUAUUUAAAUGGCCAAAAUCUAGAACAUUGACAACAUCAAAUACUGGUGAAGAUAUGGAGCAACAAGAACUCUUCAUUCAUUGCCGGUGGAAAUACAAAAUGGUACAGCUACUUUGGAAAACAGUUUGGCAGUUUUUUACAAAAUGAUAAAUUCUAAGGAGCACAAUGACUAGAUCGUAUUCUUACCAUACGAUCUAGUCAUUGUGCUCCUUAGAAUUCAUCCAAAGGAGUUGAAAACUUUUAUCUACCCAAAAACCUGCAUGUAGAUAUUUAUAGGACCUUAAUUGCCAAAACUCAGAAGCAACCAAAAUGUCCUUCAUCGGGUUAGUGGACAAAUAAAAUGUGGUACAUCCAGACAAUGGAAUAUUGUUCGCCAUUAAAAGAAAUGAACUACCAAGCCAUGAAAACCUUAAAUAUAUAUUACUAAGUGAAAGAAAACAAUAUGAAAAGACUAUAUACUACAUAAUUCUACCUUAUAUGAUAUUCUGGAAAAGACAAAACUAUGGAGACAGUAAAAAGAUCAGUGGUUGCCAUGGCAGGGUGGAUGGAGAGGACACAAGGGAUUUUUUUUAGGGUAGUGAAACUACUCUGUAUGAUAUAGCAAUGGAUAUAUGUCAUUACACAUUUGUCCAAACCCAUUGAAUAUACAUUAGAAGUGAACCCUUAGGUAAACUAUAGACUUUGUGUGACUAUGAUGUAUUAAUGUAGGUUCGUCCUUGGUUAAAAAAAAAAAAAAGUACCAUUCUGGUGAGUGAUGUUAAUAAUGGGAGAGACUAUGCAUGUGUGGAGGAAGAAGGUAUGUAAAAAAUCUCCACAUCUUCCUCUUAAUUUUACUGUAAACCUAAAACUUCUCUAAUUAAAUAAGGUGUUUUUUUUUUAAAGAUCUGCCAUAAAUAAAUUAUCUUAGUUUUAUUUUCUCUGAUAAUGCCUUUAUCUUACCCUUAUUACUGAAGGAUUGAGUUGACAAUUCUUUUCUUCUAGCACAUUAAAAAAAUGUUGCUCCACUUCCUGGAUUUCACAUUAUUAUUCUCCUAUAAGUAAUGUGUUAUUUUCUCUGGCUACUCUGAAGAUUUUUUCUUUAUAUUUAGUUUUUCGAAGUUUGAUUAUGCUGUGUCUGGGCAUGGAUUUAUUUGGGUUUAUACUAUUUGAGAUUCUGCAGGUUAAUGUCUUAUUCCAAAUUUUUAGCCAUCAUUUCCUCAAAUAUUUUUUCUCAGAAUAUUUUUUCUCAUCUUCUAGGAUUCCAAUGAUACAAAUGUUAAACCUUUAGUAUUGUCACAGAUGUCCUUGAGGCUAUGUUCAUUAUUUUUUUCAGUAUUUUCCCUCCGUUGUUUGGGAUGGAAAAUUUCUAUUCAUCUAUUAAUAAAUUUACUGACUAUUUCUUCUAA